GACGAACGCUGGCGGCGUGCUUAACACAUGCAAGUCGAACGGAAAGGCCCUGCUUUUGUGGGGUGCUCGAGUGGCGAACGGGUGAGUAACACGUGAGUAACCUGCCCUUGACUUUGGGAUAACUUCAGGAAACUGGGGCUAAUACCGGAUAGGAGCUCCUGCUGCAUGGUGGGGUUUGGAAAGUUUAGGCGGUGGGGGCUGGACUCGGGGGUUAUCAGCUUGUUGGUGGGGUAGUGGCUUACCAAGGCUUUGACGGGUAGCCGGCCUGAGAGGGUGACCGGGCACAUUGGUACUGAGAGACGGCCCAGACUGCUACGGGAGGCAGCAGUGGGGAAUAUUGCACAAUGGGCGGAAGCCUGAUGCAGAAACGCCGGGUGCGGGAUGACGGCCUUCGGGUUGUAAACCGCUUUCGCCUGUGACGAAGCGUGAGUGACGGUAAUGGGUAAAGAAGCACCGGCUAACUACGUG
RNAcentral lists this ribosomal RNA (468 nucleotides) under uncultured bacterium. Its description in RNAcentral is "partial 16S ribosomal RNA". It matches the Rfam family "Bacterial small subunit ribosomal RNA", at positions 28 to 507 of the family's 1533-position model. The record is from RNAcentral.